GGCGGACGGGUGAGUAACACGUGGGUAACCUGCCUGUAAGACUGGGAUAACUCCGGGAAACCGGGGCUAAUACCGGAUGGUUGUUUGAACCGCAUGGUUCAGACAUAAAAGGUGGCUUCGGCUACCACUUACAGAUGGACCCGCGGCGCAUUAGCUAGUUGGUGAGGUAACGGCUCACCAAGGCGACGAUGCGUAGCCGACCUGAGAGGGUGAUCGGCCACACUGGGACUGAGACACGGCCCAGACUCCUACGGGAGGCAGCAGUAGGGAAUCUUCCGCAAUGGACGAAAGUCUGACGGAGCAACGCCGCGUGAGUGAUGAAGGUUUUCGGAUCGUAAAGCUCUGUUGUUAGGGAAGAACAAGUGCCGUUCAAAUAGGGCGGCACCUUGACGGUACCUAACCAGAAAGCCACGGCUAACUACGUGCCAGCAGCCGCGGUAAUACGUAGGUGGCAAGCGUUGUCCGGAAUUAUUGGGCGUAAAGGGCUCGCAGGCGGUUUCUUAAGUCUGAUGUGAAAGCCCCCGGCUCAACCGGGGAGGGUCAUUGGAAACUGGGGAACUUGAGUGCAGAAGAGGAGAGUGGAAUUCCACGUGUAGCGGUGAAAUGCGUAGAGAUGUGGAGGAACACCAGUGGCGAAGGCGACUCUCUGGUCUGUAACUGACGCUGAGGAGCGAAAGCGUGGGGAGCGAACAGGAUUAGAUACCCUGGUAGUCCACGCCGUAAACGAUGAGUGCUAAGUGUUAGGGGGUUUCCGCCCCUUAGUGCUGCAGCUAACGCAUUAAGCACUCCGCCUGGGGAGUACGGUCGCAAGACUGAAACUCAAAGGAAUUGACGGGGGCCCGCACAAGCGGUGGAGCAUGUGG
Molecule: ribosomal RNA, 863 nt
Filed under: Bacillus velezensis
Lineage: Bacteria; Bacillati; Bacillota; Bacilli; Caryophanales; Bacillaceae
Description: bacterial SSU rRNA
Rfam family: Bacterial small subunit ribosomal RNA
Source: RNAcentral